Molecule: ribosomal RNA, 922 nt
Filed under: uncultured archaeon
Lineage: Archaea
Description: bacterial SSU rRNA
Rfam family: Archaeal small subunit ribosomal RNA
Source: RNAcentral
AAAGCGUCCGUAGCUUGGUUGUUAAGUCUNUUGGGAAAUCUACCGGCUCAACCGGUAGGCGUUCAGGAGAUACUGNCAAUCUAGGGACCGGGAGAGGUGAGAGGUACUCCAGGGGUAGGAGUGAAAUCCUGUAAUCCUUGGGGGACCACCUGUGGCGAAGGCGUCUCACUAGAACGGNUCCGACAGUGAGGGACGAAAGCUGGGGGAGCAAACCGGAUUAGAUACCCGGGUAGUCCCAGCUGUAAACGAUGCGCGUUAGGUGUAUCGGUGACCACGAGUCACCGAGGUGCCGAAGGGAAACCGUGAAACGUGCCGCCUGGGAAGUACGGUCGCAAGGCUGAAACUUAAAGGAAUUGGCGGGGGAGCACCACAACAGGUGGAGCCUGCGGUUUAAUCGGACUCAACGCCGGAAAGCUCACCGGAUAAGACAGCGGAAUGAUAGCCGGGCUGAAGACUCUGCUUGACUAGCUAAGAGGAGGUGCAUGGCCGUCGUCAGUUCGUACUGUGAAGCAUCCUGUUAAGUCAGGCAACGAGCGAGACCCACGCCAACAGUUGCCAGCAUGUCCUCCGGGAUGAUGGGGACACUGUUGGGACCGCCUCUGCUAAAGAGGAGGAAGGAAUGGGCAACGCUAGGUCAGCAUGCCCCGAAUUAUCCGGGCUACACGCGGGCUACAAUGGACAGGACAAUGGGUAUCGACACCGAAAGGUGAAGGCAAUCUCUUAAACCUGCCCGUAGUUCGGAUUGUGGGCUGCAACUCGCCCACAUGAAGCUGGAAUCUGUAGUAAUCGCGUCUCAAAAUGGCGCGGUGAAUAUGUCCCUGCUCCUUGCACACACCGCCCGUCAAACCACCCGAGUGAGGUCUUGAUGAGGCUGCGGUUGUCGCCGUGGUCGAAUCUGGGUUUCGCAAGGGGGGUUAAGUCG